ACCUUGUUGCUUCGGCGGGCCCGCCAGCGUUGCUGGCCGCCGGGGGGCGACUCGCCCCCGGGCCCGUGCCCGCCGGAGACCCCAACAUGAACCCUGUUCUGAAAGCUUGCAGUCUGAGUGUGAUUCUUUGCAAUCAGUUAAAACUUUCAACAAUGGAUCUCUUGGUUCCGGCAUCGAUGAAGAACGCAGCGAAAUGCGAUAACUAAUGUGAAUUGCAGAAUUCAGUGAAUCAUCGAGUCUUUGAACGCACAUUGCGCCCCCUGGUAUUCCGGGGGGCAUGCCUGUCCGAGCGUCAUUGCUGCCCUCAAGCCCGGCUUGUGUGUUGGGCCCUCGUCCCCCGGCUCCCGGGGGACGGGCCCGAAAGGCAGCGGCGGCACCGCGUCCGGUCCUCGAGCGUAUGGGGCUUCGUCUUCCGCUCCGUAGGCCCGGCCGGCGCCCGCCGACGCAUUUGUUUGCAACUUGUUUUUUUCCAGGUUGACCUCGGAUCAGGUAGGGAUA
Molecule: unclassified non-coding RNA, 498 nt
Filed under: Aspergillus hortae
Lineage: Eukaryota; Fungi; Ascomycota; Eurotiomycetes; Eurotiales; Aspergillaceae
Description: Aspergillus hortai sequence contains ITS1, 5.8S rRNA gene, ITS2
Rfam family: 5.8S ribosomal RNA (bases 142-295)
Source: RNAcentral